AUUGAACGCUGGCGGAAUGCUUUACACAUGCAAGUCGAACGGUAGAGGGGGGCAACCCCCUUGAGAGUGGCGAACGGGUGUGUAAUAUAUCGGAACGUGCCCAGUCGUGGGGAUAACGUAGCGAAAGUUACGCUAAUACCGCAUACGAUCUAAGGAUGAAAGCGGGGGACUCGCAAGAGCCUCGCGCGAUUGGAGCGGCCGAUAUCAGAUUAGGUAGUUGGUGGGGUAAAGGCUCACCAAGCCAACGAUCUGUAGCUGGUCUGAGAGGACGACCAGCCACACUGGAACUGAGACACGGUCCAGACUCCUACGGGAGGCAGCAGUGGGGAAUAUUGGACAAUGGGCGAAAGCCUGAUCCAGCAAUGCCGCGUGAGUGAUGAAGGCCUUAGGUUGUAAAGCNCUUUUACCCGGGAUGAUAAUGACAGUACCGGAGAAUAAGACUCCGGCUAACUCCGUGCCAGC
This 462-nucleotide ribosomal RNA is filed under the name uncultured bacterium. Its description in RNAcentral is "bacterial SSU rRNA". It matches the Rfam family "Bacterial small subunit ribosomal RNA", at positions 30 to 512 of the family's 1533-position model. The record is from RNAcentral.